GACGAACGCUGGCGGCGUGCUUAACACAUGCAAGUCGAACGGAAAGGCCCUGCUUUUGUGGGGUGCUCGAGUGGCGAACGGGUGAGUAACACGUGAGUAACCUGCCCUUGACUUUGGGAUAACUUCAGGAAACUGGGGCUAAUACCGGAUAGGAGCUCCUGCUGCAUGGUGGGGGUUGGAAAGUUUCGGCGGUUGGGGAUGGACUCGCGGCUUAUCAGCUUGUUGGUGGGGUAGUGGCUUACCAAGGCUUUGACGGGUAGCCGGCCUGAGAGGGUGACCGGCCACAUGGGGACUGAGAUACGGCCCAGACUCCUACGGGAGGAAGCAGUGGGGAAUAUUGCACAAUGGGCGGAAGCCUGAUGCAGCAACGCAGCGUGCGGGAUGACGGCCUUCGGGUUGUAAACCGCUUUCGACUGUGACGAAGCGUGAGUGACGGUAAUGGGUAGAGAAGCACCGGCUAACUACGUG
Molecule: ribosomal RNA, 468 nt
Filed under: uncultured bacterium
Lineage: Bacteria
Description: partial 16S ribosomal RNA
Rfam family: Bacterial small subunit ribosomal RNA
Source: RNAcentral